CAUCAUCGGUGCACUGUGCUGAUGAGCCUCCAAAAGGGCGAAACAGCUGUCCAUAGUUGCCGUUGUUUGAGCUU
RNAcentral lists this small RNA (74 nucleotides) under Paramuricea clavata. The record is from RNAcentral. Lineage: Eukaryota; Metazoa; Cnidaria; Anthozoa; Malacalcyonacea; Plexauridae.